RNAcentral lists this ribosomal RNA (208 nucleotides) under uncultured bacterium. RNAcentral describes it as "partial 16S ribosomal RNA". It matches the Rfam family "Bacterial small subunit ribosomal RNA", at positions 524 to 731 of the family's 1533-position model. The record is from RNAcentral.
UACGAAGGGGGCUAGCGUUGUUCGGAUUUACUGGGCGUAAAGCGCACGUAGGCGGCUUUGUAAGUUAGAGGUGAAAGCCCCGGGCUCAACCCGGGAAUAGCUCUUGAUACUGUUGGACUUGAGUCCGGGAGAGGAUAGUGGAAUUCCCAGUGUAGAGGUGAAAUUCGUAGAUAUUGGGAAGAACACCGGUGGCGAAGGCGGCGAGCUG